GGGAAUAGAGGAAGGGAACGGGGAAGGGAACGGGGUCAUUCCCCAUUCCCUUCCUCUAUUCCCCGUUUUAAAGA
Molecule: non-coding RNA, 74 nt
Organism: Paramuricea clavata
Lineage: Eukaryota; Metazoa; Cnidaria; Anthozoa; Malacalcyonacea; Plexauridae
Source: the annotation of a GenBank genome assembly